CAGAAAGUUCAGAAAGUUCCUCUCGCUAACAAUAAGACAGAGGAGACGUGGUGAGGAAAAACUCCCUGAGACGAUAUGAGGAAGAAACCUCGAGAGGAACCGGACUCAGAAGGGAACCGUCCUCAUCUGGGUGACACCAGACAGUGCGAUUAUAAAUAAAUACACCCCUUCUAUUAUGUGCUGAUACUACAUGGUGAAAUAGUGCAGUUGUGUAAGCAGGAAGUUCAUUACAGUUUCUACAGGAAGUCUGUUGUGUUGAACUUCUCCACUGAUCACUGAUGGAGACUCGAGUGUGAAACAGUGUGUGGUAAUUGUAGUUCUAAACUGAACUGAACUGAAAACUGAACUGAGGUCCAAAGCAUCUUUAUGGUUUCAGAGGUAAUCGCCAGGAUCCUCUGGUACAUGUCUGUGUUUUGGUUUCUGUUAUCUGUGUAACUGUUCUGAGUUACAGGAUGUGAUAUUAUAUCUGCUGCUUCAGCUGCAAAAUAAGAACAAAACAUCUUUUAACUAUUAACGAGGUCAGUGAGUCAGAAAAUGGUGCAUGUUGGCAGAUUGUGUACAGACUAUGAACCUCUUCUUCUGUCUGAUUUUCUAGAACCAAACAUUACACUGUUAUUAUUAAAGACUCGGACAGAGGUUUUAUCUACAGGACGUGACGUCCUUUCUGAAUCCGUUUGUUGAUGCAGAUGGAAAUUUUCCUCCUGUUUUGAUCUCUUCAGCUGAGAAAUAUUUUAUAUUUUGACUAAAUAAUUUUUGCUCUGUGACUUGUGGGGUCUGGGAGCGGUCCACGGUGGUGUCUCGUGCUUUGGUAGGGUGUCGGAGUGGUCCACGGUGGUGUCUUGUGCUUUAGAAAGGUCUGGGAGCGGUCCAUGGUGGUGUCUCGGGCUUUGGUAGGGUGUCGGAGUG
This is a long non-coding RNA of Ictalurus punctatus (channel catfish), 906 nucleotides long. NCBI's taxonomy places the organism in Eukaryota, Metazoa, Chordata, Actinopteri, Siluriformes, Ictaluridae. The record is from Ensembl.